This 21-nucleotide microRNA is filed under the name Arabidopsis lyrata. Its description in RNAcentral is "aly-miR395d-5p". Its record names the gene aly-miR395d-5p. Lineage: Eukaryota; Viridiplantae; Streptophyta; Magnoliopsida; Brassicales; Brassicaceae. The record is from miRBase by way of RNAcentral. RNAcentral also lists the same sequence under 1 other name.
GUUCUCCCGAACACUUCAUUG